This 76-nucleotide transfer RNA is filed under the name Fidelibacterota bacterium. RNAcentral describes it as "tRNA-Thr". It matches the Rfam family "tRNA". Rfam says of the family: Transfer RNA (tRNA) molecules are approximately 80 nucleotides in length. Their secondary structure includes four short double-helical elements and three loops (D, anti-codon, and T loops). Lineage: Bacteria; Pseudomonadati; Fidelibacterota. The record is from RNAcentral.
GCCUACGUAGCUCAGUCGGUAGAGCACGUCCUUGGUAAGGACGAGGUCACCGGUUCAAUCCCGGUCGUAGGCUCGA